RNAcentral lists this unclassified non-coding RNA (264 nucleotides) under uncultured Sordariomycetes. RNAcentral's name for it is "sequence contains 5.8S rRNA gene, ITS2, 28S rRNA gene". The record is from RNAcentral. Lineage: Eukaryota; Fungi; Ascomycota; Sordariomycetes.
AACGCACAUUGCGCCCGCUAGUAUUCUGGCGGGCAUGCCUGUUCGAGCGUCCUUUGAAACCCUCGGGCCCGGUUGACUCAGGUCUCCCGCGGCUCGGUGUUGGGGUACCGCGGCUGCCGCGGGCCCCCAAAGACAGUGGCGGACCCUCCCGUAGCCUGGGCGUAGUAAACAAACCUAGCCUUCGGUUGCUGGAGCGGGCCUUGCCUACAGCACCAUCUAUCAAAGUUGGACCUCGAAUCAGGUAGGAAUACCCGCUGAACUUAA